This 468-nucleotide ribosomal RNA is filed under the name uncultured bacterium. Its description in RNAcentral is "partial 16S ribosomal RNA". It matches the Rfam family "Bacterial small subunit ribosomal RNA", at positions 28 to 507 of the family's 1533-position model. The record is from RNAcentral.
GACGAACGCUGGCGGCGUGCUUAACACAUGCAAGUCGAACGGAAAGGCCCUGCUUUUGUGGGGUGCUCGAGUGGCGAACGGGUGAGUAACACGUGAGUAACCUGCCCUUGACUUUGGGAUAACUUCAGGAAACUGGGGCUAUUACCGGAUAGGAGCUCCUGCUGCGUGGUGGGGGUUGGAAAGUUUCGGCGGUUGGGGAUGGACUGGCGGCUUAUCAGCUUGUUGGUGGGGUAGUGGCUUACCAAGGGUUUGACGGGUAGCCGGCCUGAGAGGGGGACCGGGGACAUGAGGACUGCGGUAGGGCCCAGUAUGCAACGGGAGGCAGCAGUGGGGAGUCUUGCACAGUGGGCCGACGCCUGAUGCAGCAACGUCGCGUGCGGGAUGACGGCCUUCGGGGUGUAAACCGCUGUCGCCUGUGACGAGGAGAGAGUGACGGUAAUGGAUAAAGAAGCACCGGCUAACUACGUG